AAACAAUUCCCACCAAGAAGAAAAAAAACACAAAUGGAAGCAAGGACCAUUCGUCAAUACAAGAAUUUACUGAUUGUUAACUGAAAAAAAGAAAAUUAUUAACUGCAACUUAUAAUUAGAUAGGCCAUUAUAUCAAGUUGUUUAACACAUGACGGACCUAUUUUAACAGAAAAACCAUUCAUGAGCUAGCACAGUUUUGGAAAUACGGAAUUCUACAUUCAGAUAGAAAGUAGACUUGAAACUAGGAGAAAGUAUAACCAGAUCAAACUCCACUAAAUUGAACUAGACAACCCAGAUGCUUUAGUCGCCACAAAGUUCCACAGAGUUAUUUGAAGCUACUACAACCUCUUCCACCAUCUCUUCCUCGACCUCAUCACCAUCAUCUGAUAUGACCUCCCACUCCUCCUCCUCGCUAUAAUGGUACAAUGGAUACCUCUGAGGAGGAGGGCUUGAUAUCUCAUCAUCUGGAUACUUAAAAGCAAGCUGGUACCCACACCCGCACAACUCCUCGACCAGCUUAUUAUAUUCUUUUACACUUAGGAACACAUUGUGCAUCAGAAGGUCCUGUGAUUGUGGUAAUCGUAUAAUUGCAAUUGUAAGAGUUAGACCAACUAAUUAGCCACGUGCAUGCACAGUUUUAGGGCCCCGUUGGGAUUGCUUUGUGUCUAAAAAAAUCAGCUUUUAUUUAUAAUUUUUAGAUUUUGAAGUGUUUGGUCCUGUCUCCAGACCCUAUUUAAGUAUUUAUAAGAGAACAUAGGUCUUGCAGAUACAAUACAGUUUCAACUCCUAAACCUAAGUAUAUUACAAAUCCUAAUAGAACCUGGAAAGACCAACUUUCUUUUCUAGACUUGGACUUGGAUUUGCCUGCUGAAUACUACUGUUCCAGAUUGUAUCAAACGAGCCAAAAAUACAACAAUCUCCACGUGCACGCAAAGUUUUAGGCCUAUUUGAAAUUGUUUUGUUUUUCGAAAAAAAAUUAGCUUCUGUUUAAAUCUUUUAUUUUAAAGUUUUGGCAAAUCAAGGGAAAACAGUUUUUGUUUUUUGUUUUUGAUUACAUGUCACAGGCAGCAGAUUUUAGAAACAAACCUUAUAAGUUGUUUGUUUAAAAUUAAAGUUAAAACAUACCGUUAGAGUCAUCAGAUUCAUCCCUCAAAACUAGAUUGUCCAUCAUAUGACGAACUUCAGAUUUACUUGGAGCAUGCUUCACACAUAUCAAAGAAUCACUAUAAGCUUUACUCGCACCAAAACCUCCUUUCAAAGCAUCAUCCUUUUCCACUAAAGAAGCUCCUGUGGCAAGUGUUAUAAGAGUUAUGCAAAACUAACCCCAAACAACAAUCUCAUAAACAAUCUUAUCAAAAAAAAAACAAAAUCACAUGAACAAAAGCAUAAGUAGAUUAUAGAUGUACCAUUAGAGUGGUCUUUCAGAUUUAGAUCUUGAAUCAAAUGACAAGCUUCUGAUUCCAUAGUCAUGUCUUUCGUAACAAAUUAUCAAUAUGACCAAUUGUAGAAGAAAAUAAAAUAAAAAAAAUAGUAUAGAACAGAAAUACCUAUCUGUUAACCUAAAGUCCUAAAUUCAACAUCAUUGCUCUUAAUUGAAUUCUACUGAGAUUUCUAAAAACUAACUGAUGGCUUACAAAGUGAAGGUCUCAAGUAGAAUACACCAGUGUAAAUUCUAUGGAAAAGAAUUACUUGUGAGUUUGUGACAACUAAAAAUCAUUCAACCAAGUUCUAAAUUAUUCUAAAUAAAAGAAGCCUAGGAGAUGACGAAAGAAAAAUUCACACAAUAAAAUAACACAAUUUUACAAAAUAAAACUCAGAACAAUUCAAUCAACAUAAGACGGGAAAACAGCGGAGCUUAAUCCAUUCUAUAAGAUCGAGCUCAUAGACCCGAUCGAACACAUGCACAAUAAAUCAAAUUCGAAGACAAAGCAGAUCAAAAUCGGACAAUAGAAUUUUUAAGAAGAAAAGACAUAAUAAUCAAUCAGAUCAGAAGGAAUAAGGGACAGCAAUUAUAACAAAAACAAUUUAAUUUGAGGAAGAAAAGACAAGAUAAUCAUGAGAUGAGAGUUAGGGUUCUGAAGGAGACUUAC
This 2090-nucleotide long non-coding RNA is filed under the name Fragaria vesca (wild strawberry). RNAcentral's name for it is "long non-coding RNA (FVES_LNC002297)". Lineage: Eukaryota; Viridiplantae; Streptophyta; Magnoliopsida; Rosales; Rosaceae. The record is from RNAcentral.